GAUUGUAGCCUGAAAUUCGGCUGCAUGAAUAAGAAAUUGCUAGUAAUCGUGAAUCACCAUGUCACGGUGAAUA
RNAcentral lists this ribosomal RNA (73 nucleotides) under Nitrososphaerota archaeon. Its description in RNAcentral is "Thaumarchaeota archaeon partial 16S ribosomal RNA". It matches the Rfam family "Bacterial small subunit ribosomal RNA", at positions 1296 to 1368 of the family's 1533-position model. The record is from RNAcentral. Lineage: Archaea; Thermoproteati; Nitrososphaerota.